GGAGUUUGGACCGUGUCUCAGUUCCAAUGUGGGGGACCUUCCUCUCAGAACCCCUAAGGAUCGUUGGCUCGGUGGGCCGUUACCCCGCCGACUACCUAAUCCUACGCAUCGCCAUCCCUUACCGAUAAAUCUUUCAUACUCUUCUGAUGCCAUCUAAAUAUAUAUCGGGCAUUAAUUCGGUUUUCACCGGGCUAUUCCCGAGUAAGGGGAAGGUUCGAUACGCGUUACGCACCCGUGCGCCGGUCGUCAUCUGGCUGAGAAAGCUCAGCCAAUGUUACCCCUCGACUUGCAUGUGUUAAGCCUGUAGCUAGCGUUCAUC
This 319-nucleotide ribosomal RNA is filed under the name uncultured Prevotella sp. Its description in RNAcentral is "partial 16S ribosomal RNA". Lineage: Bacteria; Pseudomonadati; Bacteroidota; Bacteroidia; Bacteroidales; Prevotellaceae. The record is from RNAcentral.